CCGUAGCUCAGCUGGUAGAGCAACUGAUUUGUAAUCAGUCGGUCGGGGGUUCGAGUCCCUUCGGU
Molecule: transfer RNA, 65 nt
Filed under: marine eukaryotic metagenome
Rfam family: tRNA
About the family: Transfer RNA (tRNA) molecules are approximately 80 nucleotides in length. Their secondary structure includes four short double-helical elements and three loops (D, anti-codon, and T loops).
Source: RNAcentral